RNAcentral lists this ribosomal RNA (253 nucleotides) under uncultured bacterium. RNAcentral describes it as "partial 16S ribosomal RNA". It matches the Rfam family "Bacterial small subunit ribosomal RNA", at positions 524 to 776 of the family's 1533-position model. The record is from RNAcentral.
UACGUAGGGCGCAAGCGUUGUCCGGAAUUAUUGGGCGUAAAGAGCUCGUAGGUGGUUUGUUACGUCUGCUGUGAAAACCUAGGGCUUAACCCUGGGCCUGCAGUGGAUACGGGCAGACUAGAGGUAGGUAGGGGAGAAUGGAAUUCCCGGUGUAGCGGUGAAAUGCGCAGAUAUCGGGAGGAACACCGGUGGCGAAGGCGGUUCUCUGGGCCAUUACUGACGCUGAGGAGCGAAAGCGUGGGGAGCGAACAGG